Long non-coding RNA from Canis lupus familiaris (dog), 2036 nucleotides. RefSeq lists it as uncharacterized. Lineage: Eukaryota; Metazoa; Chordata; Mammalia; Carnivora; Canidae. The transcript is spliced from 7 exons. The record is from RefSeq and is a predicted model, not a curated record.
GUCGCGAGAGCGGGCCCGGAAGAGCCGCGCCACCUCUCUCAGGGCGAAUGCGGCGUCGCCUCGGUGGAGGUGGCGGGGCGUGUGGCGAGGGGCGUUUUUAGUUUUGAUGAUCGAAUAUCUAACAUGCUAGAAUCCAUACUGGUUUGAAGAGGUUUGCUUCAGUCAGGUUUGCUCAGCGACUGCACCUCAGGUCCAGAAAUGAAAUGCUCGGGUAUUCUUUGCGCGACAAGAGGUCGGGGCGUCCCCCCGAAACUCAGAUGAGUCUUCACUAGAUCCAAAGAUCUAUGCUGUAGGUCUUCAGCGGGAAGAUCUUUCCCAAGCGCCCACACUGGGAUGUGAAUGAGUGAUCGGAGCACAACCUAUUUGUCUUGAGCUGCCUGUAUUUUCUCCCUCUGAGUUACAAGUUGAAGAGCCAGCGUGUUCUUGUUAAGAGCUUGUUCAGAGUGGGAACACUGGUAGCUCCCGGAGCCCUGCUGACCAUUAUCUUCGCAUUCAGGAAUAUGGCAGCAUUAUACACCUCUUUCCUCUUGGAAAUUAGGUAUUCCAGGUGGUUUGCUGUGGACAGUGACAUGUUUGCAACUUGACCAGAUUUAUUUAUGGCCUCUGGAAAGAUGUACUACUUCUAGUGCUGACAGAGCUAAUCAAUGCCUCAGUGAAUUUGUCUACAUUGCAAAGUGAUACCUGGAGGACUUUCUGAGGCACAGACUUCCAAGUCAGAAUUUUUGAUGAUGUUCUUGAAGAAAAUAAAAGAGGGACUGUUCCAUCGGUCACGGAAACUGAGCAGCUGGGCACUUUCUUCCCUUCUUCAUCAUUGCCAAGGAAAUAAAAAGACCAAGAUUUUAAGUACACUGCACGAAGCUAUUCUUUCUGGCUCUGGAUUCAGCUCAAGCCCACUCCAUUCUUGAGCAGAAGAAUGUCAGGUCCUGCCUUUGAGGUGCUUCUCUUGCCACAGAUAGGGUGACAUGACCAUGUUCUUACCAGAAACUAAGACAAAUUUGACCUCAGCAUGUGGUAUUUACAGAAUUUUAUCCAAAUCUCUUCUUGUUAUCACUCCACUACUGAUCUGUGCCUCUGUUGUAGUAACUGGGAUUCAAUCUUGUUAACAAUUUUGAUGAAAUCACUUCUCCCUCCUGCUUUUCUGGGUGUUCCUCUUUGUUUCCUGUCCUUUGUAGCCUUUAUUUAUGGCUCUCCCUUAAUCGUUUUGCUUUCUUUGGUAAUCAUAGCCCAAAUCUCUCCAGGAGCCAUGCUUUCCCCACUUGCAGGGAUGAAAUACAAGACCCAGUUUUAAGUAAUUUAUGCUCACUGGCUCUUGUCAUUGGUUAUAGGCUAGGCAUGCACUUCGAGCAGGUUCUGUGAGAGCGAGAAGGAGAUGCCUUUUGUAGACUAUCAGACAACAGCUGCUCUAGUUUUUGCUAAAGUCUUAGGCUAAGGUGUAAGAAGCUGUGAGGUAGUCCAAAGGUCUUAUGGACCAUGAAGGGUGUCUGUGUUAAAAAAUUAAGCUAAUGUGCAGAGGAGACCAGAGCUAAGUAGAGGUGGCAUAUGGAACAUAUCUGGUGACAUAAUGUGAGACCUUUCAAGCAGCUGCAUCUUAAGCCAGUUCUGAGUCACCUGAUUCUUUACUUCACUUGAACAAGUUUGUAUUGGAUUUUCUGUAGCUUAAUUUUUGUUGUUGUUGUUGUUUUAAGUGAUUGGGAGUUUCAGUGGUAGGUUUGGCCACUUUCUGACAGCUUUCUUGAUAUCAUCUGGGGUCUACCUCUCUAUCUCCAUCCACCUUCAUACUUUCUGUGCUGGGUUUACCCUCUGUUGGGACAUGCUGAUACUUUAUAUUCAGUCCUGAUACUCUUUUAUGGUCUGGAAGAAAUUCCAAGAUAUAGCAACUGUAUUUUCCCACUUGAGUGUUUUAGGAAAACUUAAUGACUCAAAUAAACCAUCUCUUCACUAACUGAAAGUGGGGAGGCUUCAAGGAAUUUCAUGUAACUGACCUGUGGAUAAAGAAAUAUAUUAAGGUCAGUGGCUCAUUACUUUUUCUUUUUCUG